RNAcentral lists this ribosomal RNA (509 nucleotides) under uncultured bacterium. RNAcentral describes it as "bacterial SSU rRNA". It matches the Rfam family "Bacterial small subunit ribosomal RNA", at positions 1 to 521 of the family's 1533-position model. The record is from RNAcentral.
UGAGGCGCGCCGAGUUUGAUCCUGGCUCAGAAUGAACGCUGGCGGCGUGCUUAACACAUGCAAGUCGAACGGUAACAGAUAGAAGCUUGCUUCUAUGCUGACGAGUGGCGCACGGGUGAGUAAUAUAUAGGUAAUGUGCCCCUUAGACCGGGAUAGCCACUGGAAACGGUGAUUAAUACUAGAUACUCCUUCUAAUCUCAAGGUUAGUCGGGAAAGUUUUUCGCUAAGAGAUCGGCCUAUAUCCCAUCAGUUAGUUGGUAAGGUAAUGGCUUACCAAGGCAAUGACGGGUAGCGGGUUUGAGAGGAUGAUCCGCCACACUGGUACUGAGACACGGACCAGACUCCUACGGGAGGCAGCAGUGAGGAAUAUUGCACAAUGGGGGAAACCCUGAUGCAGCAACGCCGCGUGGAGGAUGACGCAUUUCGGUGUGUAAACUCCUUUUAUAUGUCAAGAAAAUGACGGUAGCAUAUGAAUAAGCACCGGCUAACUCCGUGCCAGCAGCCGCGGU